AUCAGCCUUGAACACUCAAAGAAAAAUCUGCCUGCUCUGAAUAUUGCCUGAGGAUUUAGAAAAUCUUUCUUGGAAACAGAAGAAUGAGAUGAAACAAUCAUCUGUACAGCAUGGUAAGAGAGAAAAAGAAUAAAGGAAUGAGUUAUGUUUGACUUGUCUUCUUCCAAGAGAGAAUUUCAUUUUAUUUUUUGGAGUAGGCUUUAGAUGUGGGAGAUGUUGUGGGAGCUGCUCUUUACAGUUGUAAGAUGCAAAUUUAUCAUGGUGCCAGUGCAGGCCAUGGACUUUGUCCAAGGAGUAGCUAUGUUUGGAGGUAUAAUUGUCUUCCCGGUGCUCCGCUAAUGCUGGUUGUUUUGUUGUGGGAAGGAGCUGUGAAAUACUACAAUUGCCACGCACUGUGUUAGGAGCUGGAAGCUGGUUAUUUGAGAUCAGCACUGAAUGCUGCCUAGAGGUUCUCCCACUGCUCUCAGCAGUUCUAAUGCUUCACUAGAAGCUUCAAAACAUGUUUUUUUUUCUCCUGCUCCGGUAACCUGUAAACCACAGCCGUUUCUUUGCUCAGCAACUCGGUUUGCAGUAAGACUGCAUUAUUUACCACUUCAGUUGUUUGAGAAAACUUAGUAAUGACGGGUGUCAAUCAGGUAAAAGUCUGCCGUCUCCCACCUGAGCAGAAGCAACGCUACAAUUUCAGCUGUGUCAUUAAUAAACAAGGAGCCAGUGGAUCUGAGAGCACUGGAAAACCUAUGAUCACUCACUCUGAAAGGGAUGAUUGUCACUCACACCUUGAUGACAUCUACUUGCAGAUAUAAUGAAGAAAGAUUAUCAUGGCUCUACGUGGCUGCAGCAGCUCUGGUCAGCAAAUAAUAACGACGUUGUCUCACUGGUCAGACCUGCCUCCCAGAGACCAACAACACGUUAAGUGAUGUCUUGGUGGUAUUUUGGGCCCUCAUUUAUGUGAUGGCAAUAGAAAUCUAAAAGGAAAAGGCCUUUCUUUUUUGUGACAUAAUGAAUUUCAUGCCAUUCUCUGCAAAUUCUGUUAGUCAUGACCAAAAUCAGCUUACUUCUGCACUGAUGCCUCUGAGAAGAAGCAGUGAAAGACCUUUAAAGCAAAGACUUUGGCUUCAUGUGCUACACCACCAUAAAAUGUUGGCUAUAAUACGCUUAAAAUCUUGCUGUCCCUGGGCCUUAUUAGCACUCGGAGGAGGCGGCGUGGGUUGGAUGGCGGUGGCGUGUGCUGUCCUGCUGCACACAGAAUUGUGCCUUGUGAAGGAGACGUCAGAGCUGACCUUGGCAUACACCUGCUGGAUGUCCAGGUAUGAGCCAGGCAGUCUGAAUCUGGGGGUCUUUGCCCAGUGUGUGGGUUGGAGUGAAAUGCUUCUGCAAAGGUGA
RNAcentral lists this long non-coding RNA (1383 nucleotides) under Anas platyrhynchos platyrhynchos (common mallard). Its description in RNAcentral is "lncRNA (ENSAPLG00000027325.1)". Lineage: Eukaryota; Metazoa; Chordata; Aves; Anseriformes; Anatidae. The record is from RNAcentral.